AGCUCCAAUAGCGUAUAUUAAAGUUGUUGCAGUUAAAAAGCUCGUAGUUGGAUCUCAGGGUGAGCUCAGUUGGUCGGCCUAAUUGGUCAGAACUGGCUGUCUCUCCCUUGUUUCUGAAUCCCGGUCGGAGUUAAUUCUUCGUUCGUGGACUUCAGAUCGUUUACCUUGAAAAAAUUAGAGUGUUCAAAGCGGGCGUUUGCUUGAAUACAUUAGCAUGGAAUAAUGGAAUAGGACUUUUGGUUUUAUUUUGUUGGUUUUGAGGACCAGAUUAAUAGGGAUAGUUGGGGGCAUUCAUAUUUAAUUGUCAGAGGUGAAAUUCUUGGAUUUAUGAAAGAUGAACUUCUGCGAAAGCAUUUGCCAAGGAUGUUUUCA
This 372-nucleotide ribosomal RNA is filed under the name uncultured eukaryote. RNAcentral's name for it is "SSU rRNA". It matches the Rfam family "Eukaryotic small subunit ribosomal RNA", at positions 587 to 972 of the family's 1831-position model. The record is from RNAcentral.